AACGAACGCUGGCGGCAGGCUUAACACAUGCAAGUCGAACGGGUGCAGCAAUGCAUCAGUGGCAGACGGGUGAGUAACACGUGGGAACCUUCCUAGGGGUACGGAACAACUCAGGGAAACUUGAGCUAAUACCGUAUACGUCCGUGAGGAGAAAGAUUUAUCGCCCUUAGACGGGCCCGCGUCGGAUUAGCUAGUUGGUGGGGUAACGGCCUACCAAGGCGACGAUCCGUAGCUGAUCUUAGAGGAUGAUCAGUCACACUGGGACUGAGACACGGCCCAGACUCCUACGGGAGGCAGCAGUGGGGAAUCUUGGACAAUGGGCGCAAGCCUGAUCCAGCCAUGCCGCGUGAGUGAAGAAGGUCUUCGGAUUGUAAAGCUCUUUUGCCAGGGACGAUAAUGACGGUACCUGGAGAAUAAGCCCCGGCAAACUUCGUGCCAGCAGCCGCCGUAA
This 451-nucleotide ribosomal RNA is filed under the name uncultured bacterium. RNAcentral describes it as "partial 16S ribosomal RNA". It matches the Rfam family "Bacterial small subunit ribosomal RNA", at positions 29 to 523 of the family's 1533-position model. The record is from RNAcentral.